Molecule: small RNA, 29 nt
Filed under: Bombyx mori (domestic silkworm)
Lineage: Eukaryota; Metazoa; Arthropoda; Insecta; Lepidoptera; Bombycidae
Description: ovarian small RNA-32452
Source: RNAcentral
UGAUAGUCAAGGGCGAGCGCCUCCGCCUC